GACGUAGGGGGCAAGCGUUGUCCGGAAUUAUUGGGCGUAAAGCGCUCGUAGGCGGAUCGGUAAGUCUGUGAAGAAAGACCCGGGCUCAACUCGGGGAACGGCAUAGAUACUGCUGAUCUUGAGACAGUCAGAGGAUGAUGGAAUUCCAGGUGUAGUGGUGAAAUGCGUAGAUAUCUGGAGGAACACCGGUGGCGAAGGCGGCAUCCUGGACCAACACUGAUGCUGAGGAGCGAAAGCCAGGGGAGCAAACGGG
RNAcentral lists this ribosomal RNA (253 nucleotides) under uncultured bacterium. RNAcentral describes it as "partial 16S ribosomal RNA". It matches the Rfam family "Bacterial small subunit ribosomal RNA", at positions 524 to 776 of the family's 1533-position model. The record is from RNAcentral.